AUGGACCCAGCAGAGAUCUUGAAUGUUAGAUUUCACUUUGGGGGUCACUUCAUACGAAUUGGUCCAAGUCUAGAUUAUGUUGGGGGAGAAACUGGAAUGUCAGAGAUUGAGCGGGACAAGCUCUCUUUGCAGGAGCUGAAAGGGUUUUUAGGAGAUCAUAUGACAAUGAAGGAGAGCAUGAAAUACUAUUUCCUGUUGCCUGGCAGAGAUUUGGUAAAUGGAUUGCUUUUUUUACAUGAUGAUGGUGGCUGCAUGAAGAUGUCUGACUACAUUACAGAGGGAGUUGGUGAAAUAUAUGUGGAGUACAAUGGUGAAGAAGAAGAACAAGGAGAAAUAGACAGUGGAUCAGAUUUUGAGGAUGAGCUUGAUGAACUG
This 375-nucleotide ribosomal RNA is filed under the name Triticum aestivum (bread wheat). Its description in RNAcentral is "partial small subunit ribosomal RNA". The record is from RNAcentral. Lineage: Eukaryota; Viridiplantae; Streptophyta; Magnoliopsida; Poales; Poaceae.